Molecule: unclassified non-coding RNA, 316 nt
Filed under: uncultured fungus
Lineage: Eukaryota; Fungi
Description: partial contains small subunit ribosomal RNA, internal transcribed spacer 1, and 5.8S ribosomal RNA
Rfam family: Eukaryotic small subunit ribosomal RNA (bases 1-73)
Source: RNAcentral
UCAAACUUGGUCAUUUAGAGGAAGUAAAAGUCGUAACAAGGUCUCCGUUGGUGAACCAGCGGAGGGAUCAUUACCGGGUCGGCGACUGCCCGAACCAAACCGUGCACUCGUACCUUCAAUUUUCGUUUCGCUGCGGCGGGUCGCUCGCUGGGGGAGCUGCUGGUCCCGGAAGGGGCCGGCCCGCCGAGGCGUCGUUCAGAAACCACGAUGAAAGAGAACUUCGGAAGGUGCUGCCGCGGCCCUUCGGGGCCCGGAAAAACCUAUCACAACUCACAACAAUGGAUCUCUUGGCUCUGGCAUCGAUGAAGAACGCAGC